Molecule: ribosomal RNA, 119 nt
Filed under: Pteropus alecto (black flying fox)
Lineage: Eukaryota; Metazoa; Chordata; Mammalia; Chiroptera; Pteropodidae
Source: RNAcentral
GUCUAUGGCCAUGCCACCCUGAACAAGCCUGAUCCCAUCUGAUCUCGACAGCUAAGCAGGGUCAGGCCUGGUUAGUACUUGGAUGAGAGACCACCUAAGAAGACCAGGUGCUGUAGGCA